AGAGUUUGAUCCUGGCUCAGAACGAACGCUGGCGGCAGGCUUAACACAUGCAAGUCGAACGCAUCCUUCGGGGUGAGUGGCAGACGGGUGAGUAACGCGUGGGAACGUGCCCUUCAGUUCGGGAUAACCCAGGGAAACUUGGGCUAAUACCGGAUACGUGCGAGAGCAGAAAGAUUUAUCGCUGAAGGAUCGGCCCGCGUCUGAUUAGCUAGUUGGUAGGGUAAUGGCCUACCAAGGCGACGAUCAGUAGCUGGUCUGAGAGGAUGAUCAGCCACAUUGGGACUGAGACACGGCCCAAACUCCUACGGGAGGCAGCAGUGGGGAAUAUUGGACAAUGGGCGCAAGCCUGAUCCAGCCAUGCCGCGUGAGUGAUGAAGGCCUUAGGGUUGUAAAGCUCUUUCGUCCGGGACGAUAAUGACGGUACCGGAAGAAGAAGCCCCGGCUAACUUCGUGCCAGCAGCCGCGGUAAUACGAAGGGGGCUAGCGUUGUUCGGAAUCACUGGGCGUAAAGGGCGCGUAGGCGGCUUUAUAAGUCGGGGGUGAAAGCCUGUGGCUCAACCACAGAAUUGCCUUCGAUACUGUAGAGCUUGAGACCGGAAGAGGUAAGUGGAACUGCGAGUGUAGAGGUGAAAUUCGUAGAUAUUCGCAAGAACACCAGUGGCGAAGGCGGCUUACUGGUCCGGUUCUGNNGCUGANNNNNGAAAGCGUGGGGAGCAAACAGGAUUAGAUACCCUAGUAGUCC
This 742-nucleotide ribosomal RNA is filed under the name uncultured bacterium. RNAcentral describes it as "bacterial SSU rRNA". It matches the Rfam family "Bacterial small subunit ribosomal RNA", at positions 8 to 796 of the family's 1533-position model. The record is from RNAcentral.